UACGUAGGGUGCGAGCGUUGUCCGGAAUUAUUGGGCGUAAAGAGCUUGUAGGCGGUUUGUCGCGUCUGCUGUGAAAAUCCGGGGCUCAACUCCGGACUUGCAGUGGGUACGGGCAGGCUAGAGUGUGGUAGGGGAGACUGGAAUUCCUGGUGUAGCGGUGGAAUGCGCAGAUAUCAGGAGGAACACCGAUGGCGAAGGCAGGUCUCUGGGCCACUACUGACGCUGAGAAGCGAACGCAUGGGGAGCGAACAGG
RNAcentral lists this ribosomal RNA (253 nucleotides) under uncultured bacterium. Its description in RNAcentral is "partial 16S ribosomal RNA". It matches the Rfam family "Bacterial small subunit ribosomal RNA", at positions 524 to 776 of the family's 1533-position model. The record is from RNAcentral.